AUGGACGCCUUCUCCGCCGCUCCCGUGACUCCUCUCCCCGAGCUAGCAGCUCUCAUGGCAGCUUGCAACGUGAAUGCCCGAUACGAGCUCCUGCAGCCCAUUACCAGGGUCGUGGUGUCCCCGGCGGCCUCGGUGGAGCUGGAAUUCCGCCUGGUCGCCGUCAGGAUCCGCACUGGCGAAUUCCUUCUCUCCACCUGCCGCCCGGCCGGCGAGCCCAACACGUGCGUAGCGCUGGACCAGUACUUUGAAUUCUCCAUCGCCGACAUCAGGUUCUUUCAAGGGAAGAUCUACGUCCUGUCCAAGAUCAACGAGACGCUCCGCGUCCUCGAUCUCAACAAUGGCUACCUCGACGAGCUACCGGCAUCACCAUCUUGCAUCGAGGUCGUAUGCGGAGUGAGGUCCGAGUUCGCGAUGACAGAGGAGCCCCAUCUGCAAAAGGAUCCAUGGCCGUACGGCCACGUCGUUGCGGGGCGGUAUCUGGUCGAAUGUAAUGGCAAGCUGCUCAUGGUCAGGCGAUGGGCCCGCAAACCUUUGAUGAGCUUUAGUUACUUUUCGAUGACCGAAUUCCGAGACAAGGAUGGGUACGAUCUUGAACGGACUCGCCGGUUCAAGGUCUUCGAGGUAGACCUCGGCCGAAGGAUGAGCCAUGGCCGGUGGAAGAAGGUCCAGGGCUUGGAUGGUUGGGCGAUGUUCGUGUCGUCGCGAUGCUCCAAGGCAGUAACUGCAGCAAGCCAUGGAGCUCGAGAGGACUGCGUCUACUUCGCGCACCAGUGGGGUCGGAGAGACCCGGACAAUCCCAUCGGCGGCUCCGGGGUGUACAACAUGAGAGACGGGGCGAUCACGCGGCCGCUGUUGCCAGAGCCUGCGGCGGUCGCUGGGUCACUGCCAUGGAGCCGACGGUUUCCAGCGUGGGUAUUCCCUAUGGAAGUUUAA
This 933-nucleotide ribosomal RNA is filed under the name Triticum aestivum (bread wheat). Its description in RNAcentral is "partial small subunit ribosomal RNA". Lineage: Eukaryota; Viridiplantae; Streptophyta; Magnoliopsida; Poales; Poaceae. The record is from RNAcentral.